GACGAACGCUGGCGGCGUGCUUAACACAUGCAAGUCGAACGGAAAGGCCCUGCUUGCAGGGUACUCGAGUGGCGAACGGGUGAGUAACACGUGGGUGAUCUGCCCUGCACUUCGAGAUAAGCCUGGGAAACUUGGUCUAAUACCGGAUAGGAGCCAUUUUUAGUGUGAUGGUUGGAAAGUUUUUUCGGUGUAGGAUGAGCUCGCGGCCUAUCAGCUUGUUGGUGGGGUAAUGGCCUACCAAGGCGGCGACGGGUAGCCGGCCUGAGAGGGUGGACGGCCACAGUGGGACUGAGAUACGGCCCAGACUCCUACGGGAGGCAGAAGUGGGGAAUAUUGCACAAUGGGAGCAAGCCUGAUGCAGCGACGCCGCGUGGGGGAUGACGGCCUUCGGGUUGUAAACUCCUUUCGCUAGGGACGAAGCUUUUUGUGACGGUACCUAGAUAAGAAGCACCGGCUAACUACGUG
This 465-nucleotide ribosomal RNA is filed under the name uncultured bacterium. RNAcentral's name for it is "partial 16S ribosomal RNA". It matches the Rfam family "Bacterial small subunit ribosomal RNA", at positions 28 to 507 of the family's 1533-position model. The record is from RNAcentral.